UACUUUUUCGGGCAUUUUCGUG
Molecule: non-coding RNA, 22 nt
Filed under: Arabidopsis thaliana (thale cress)
Lineage: Eukaryota; Viridiplantae; Streptophyta; Magnoliopsida; Brassicales; Brassicaceae
Source: RNAcentral